UGGGGAAUAUUGCACAAUGGGGGAAACCCUGAUGCAGCGACGCCGCGUGAGCGAAGAAGGCUUUCGAGUCGUAAAGCUCUGUCCUAUGAGAAGAUAAUGACGGUAUCAUAGGAGGAAGCCCUGGCUAAAUACGUGCCAGCAGCCGCGGUAAUACGUAUGGGGCGAGCGUUGUCCGGAAUUAUUGGGCGUAAAGGGUACGUAGGCGGUUUUUUAAGUCAGGUGUCAAAGCGUGGAGCUUAACUCCAUUAAGCACUUGAAACUGAAAGACUUGAGUGAAGGAGAGGAAAGUGGAAUUCCUAGUGUAGCGGUGAAAUGCGUAGAUAUUAGGAGGAAUACCGGUGGCGAAGGAGACUUUCUGGACUUUUACUGACGCUCAGGUACGAAAGCGUGGGGAGCAAACAGG
RNAcentral lists this ribosomal RNA (403 nucleotides) under Verrucomicrobiota bacterium. Its description in RNAcentral is "Verrucomicrobia bacterium partial 16S ribosomal RNA". It matches the Rfam family "Bacterial small subunit ribosomal RNA", at positions 355 to 776 of the family's 1533-position model. The record is from RNAcentral. Lineage: Bacteria; Pseudomonadati; Verrucomicrobiota.